CUUCUUACAUGUGCGGCACAGAUUUUUGCUAGCAUGAGCGGCGGGUUCGGCGGCCGCGGUCGGCGCUGCCGUGCUGUCUAGUGAGCUCCUGUGACCGGCGCCAUGAGAGCAGCUGCGCCGGUGGCUCUCGUGCAUGGCGCGUGCAUCGGUGACCUUCUAAAGUCCUCCUUCGCGAACUGCAUCGCAUCGCCGGCCGGAGCGCCGGCCAUCUGGCCGUUCCCCUUUGCGGUGUGGUACGCCGUCUCCGCCGCAGCUGCAAUCUCCUCCGGCGCCAGCGUUGUUGAGCAGCGUUUCUCAUCCAGCAGCAGCGCUGGCGGCUCCUAUCCAUCUACCAAAGAAAGGAGCAUUAUCUUAUCCAGCGCCAGCGUUUGUACGAACAGAAUGGAAGGCCAUUCUGAAUCACUUGGUGACAUAAUAAUUCGUGGGAUGUAAACUUUGUCGCCAAUGAUUCGCCUGGAGUCACCUCCCAAGACUACCAUCAUUCCUCCAAACAGUCUAUGCUCGGCAUCCUCAUUUGUGAAUCGAAAAUUGAACUAUCUGGUAGUGGCAUUCCUGGAAAAUCUUUGAGGGACUUGCCACCUUUGGUCAACAGGUCUUCCAUCCCUGCCAAGAGGAUCCUCUUUAUUUGCGCUGACUUGAGUUCUAGGGCCUGAAAAUUGAGUAUUCUUCUUUGCCAACGUUGGAUGUCCUCAGAUAGUAGUUCCCAGUUUGUUUGCCACAACUUUGCAGGAUCCGUUACCUUGCAAAAUCAAAGUAUCGUGUAGAAAAGUUGGCGCAUUUGAGGAGCAGAGGCCCAAUGGGAUGCUUCCUUGAUGCAGUCAUCCCACUCCUUGUCGUCAUUAAGUAGACCAAGAGCAUAACAUGCAGAUUUGUAUGUUGGAUGUACAACCCCAUCAACAGUGAAAUUGUAACCUUUCAACCGCAGGCUCUCUAUACUGAAGAGGAAACUGAAGUAUGUGCCAUGAGGCUUCACAUUCGGAUAUGUACCAAGCAUCAAGAUAUCAUCCCAAGCACACUAUACGGAGUACGGACAGGACACACGAUGUGAUUGGCUCUCUGGCGCCGGCGCUGCUCUGGCGCAGCGCGUGAACUCAAACCGAGUUUGGGGUGUGAAUCUUGCAUGCUGCCAAUCCAUUGUAGUUCCUGGAAUCUGCCCUAACCCAGGUCCGUUGCUGGCUGCCUGCCUGAAUACGUGCCUCCCAGCCUACAGUCAACGAUGUCAUGUUGGGCGCUGAUGAAUCUUGAUGUCAAGGACAGCUAAAAGAUGGCACCCGUAGAUGGAAAGAAAGAUGAACACCAGCGCUAGGGCUUCAGCUCAACAAAGCGCCAAUAGGAAAGAAGAGUAAUAUAACAGAAGAAUAAAGGCUACAUGUUACUUUCGUGCGGAUUGGGGCCAGCAGCAACUGCUGACGAAUGUGCACUCUGAAACCUUGCCAACGACGGCAAUCGCCGAGGCUGCUUCAAACUGCUAUCUGCCUAUCCGUGCACCACCUCUGCUGCAUCAAAAACCACGAGAUUGAUUUAUUGAUAGGGCUGAAAACGAUUUCAAGAUUGUAAUAUACUGUAGUUAUAACCUGAAAUCAGUUAUAGGACAGAGAGGAUCGGGGAGAGAAAAAUGUUACAUCGAUUCGAGGAUGAGAAGUGUUUUGGCUCUCGCCGAUCUGUCGAUGAGGGAGAGAAGAAGCAAGGGGUUACGUCGAUGCCGUUGUAGAGGAGAAGCGACCGAUCCUGCCUGCACGGGUCGGUUGUUCUUUUAUUUUUGGAGAUGUUUUUUCUACAAUGGAGAUGGAUUUGUUUUGGUAUAAUUUUAAUUGGCCUACGUGAGCCUA
Non-coding RNA from Triticum urartu, 1829 nucleotides. The record is from RefSeq and is a predicted model, not a curated record. NCBI's taxonomy places the organism in Eukaryota, Viridiplantae, Streptophyta, Magnoliopsida, Poales, Poaceae.